CCUACGGGAGGCAGCAGUGAGGAAUAUUGGUCAAUGGGCGCGAGCCUGAACCAGCCAAGUCGCGUGAAGGAUGACUGCCCUACGGGUUGUAAACUUCUUUUAUAAGGGACUAAAGUGAGGCACGUGUGCCUUUUUGUAUGUACUUUAUGAAUAAGGCUCGGCUAAAUCCGGGCCAGCCGACCCGGUAAUACGGAGGGUCCGAACGUUAACCGGGCUUAAUGGGUUUAAAGGGAGCGGUAAUCGGUAGGUAAGUCAGUUGGUAAAGUUUGCGGGUUAACCCUCAAACUGCAGUUGAUACUGGCAGUCUUGAGUAGAGUAGAGGUAGGCGGAAUGCGUGGUGUAGCGGUGAAAUGCUUAGAUAUCACGAAGAACUCCGAUUGCGAAGGCAGCUUACUAACCUGCCACUGACGUUGAUGCUCGAAAGUGUGGGUAUCAAACAGGAUUAGAUACCCCGGUAGUC
This 460-nucleotide ribosomal RNA is filed under the name uncultured bacterium. RNAcentral describes it as "partial 16S ribosomal RNA". It matches the Rfam family "Bacterial small subunit ribosomal RNA", at positions 338 to 795 of the family's 1533-position model. The record is from RNAcentral.